CGUUGGGCACUCUAGCCAGACUGCCGGUGAUAAAUCGGAGGAAGGUGGGGACGACGUCAAAUCAUCAUGCCCUUUAUGUCCUGGGCUACACACGUACUACAAUGGCCGUUACAACGGGAAGCGAAGGAGCAAUCCGGAGCAAAUCCCUUAAAGGCGGUCCCAGUUCAGAUUGUGGGCUGAAACUCGCCCACAUGAAGGCGGAAUUGCUAGUAAUUGCAGAUCAGCAUGCUGCAGUGAAUACGUUCCCGGGCCUU
Molecule: ribosomal RNA, 254 nt
Filed under: uncultured Oscillospiraceae bacterium
Lineage: Bacteria; Bacillati; Bacillota; Clostridia; Eubacteriales; Oscillospiraceae
Description: partial 16S ribosomal RNA
Rfam family: Bacterial small subunit ribosomal RNA
Source: RNAcentral